RNAcentral lists this ribosomal RNA (301 nucleotides) under uncultured bacterium. Its description in RNAcentral is "partial 16S ribosomal RNA". It matches the Rfam family "Bacterial small subunit ribosomal RNA", at positions 509 to 807 of the family's 1533-position model. The record is from RNAcentral.
CAGUCGCCGCGGUAAUACGUAGGGUGCGAGCGUUAAUCGGAAUUACUGGGCGCAAAGCGUGCGCAGGCGGUUCGUUAAGACAGAUGUGAAAUCCCCGGGCUUAACCCGGGAACUGCAUUUGUGACUGGCGAGCUAGAGUAUGGCAGAGGGGGGUAGAAUUCCACGUGUAGCAGUGAAAUGCGUAGAGAUGUGGAGGAAUACCGAUGGCGAAGGCAGCCCCCUGGGCCAAUACUGACGCUCAUGCACGAAAGCGUGGGGAGCAAACAGGAUUAGAUACCCGUGUAGUCCCUGUCUCUUAUAC